Molecule: ribosomal RNA, 453 nt
Filed under: uncultured bacterium
Lineage: Bacteria
Description: bacterial SSU rRNA
Rfam family: Bacterial small subunit ribosomal RNA
Source: RNAcentral
UGGGGAAUUGUUCACAAUGGGCGCAAGCCUGAUGACGCAACGCCGCGUGGGGGAUGAAGGUCUUCGGAUCGUAAACCCCUGUCGAAUGGGACGAAAGACUCGCGAGUGAAUACUUCGCGAGAGUGACGGUACCGUUAAAGGAAGCCACGGCUAACUCUGUGCCAGCAGCCGCGGUAAUACAGAGGUGGCAAGCGUUGUUCGGAAUUACUGGGCGUAAAGGGCGCGUAGGCGGCCCUCUAAGUCAGACGUGAAAUCCCCCGGCUUAACCUGGGAACUGCGUCUGAUACUGGAGGGCUUGAGUAUGGGAGAGGGAUGUAGAAUUCCAGGUGUAGCGGUGAAAUGCGUAGAUAUCUGGAGGAAUACCGGUGGCGAAGGCGGCAUCCUGGACCAUUACUGACGCUGAGGCGCGAAAGCUAGGGGAGCAAACGGGAUUAGAUACCCUUGUAGUCCCUG